RNAcentral lists this ribosomal RNA (253 nucleotides) under uncultured bacterium. RNAcentral describes it as "partial 16S ribosomal RNA". It matches the Rfam family "Bacterial small subunit ribosomal RNA", at positions 524 to 776 of the family's 1533-position model. The record is from RNAcentral.
CACGGAGGGCGCGAGCGUUACCCGGAUUUACUGGGCGUAAAGGGCGUGUAGGCGGUCGGGGGCGUCCCAUGUGAAAGGCCACUGCUCAACCGUGGAGGAGCGUGGGAUACGCUCAGGCUAGACGGGGGGAGAGGGUGGUGGAAUUCCCGGAGUAGCGGUGAAAUGCGCAGAUACCGGGAGGAACGCCGAUGGCGAAGGUAGCCACCUGGCUCACUGGUGACGCUGAGGCACGAAAGCGUGGGGAGCAAAACGG